ACCUGUACAAAGCUAUGCUUUACAAUGUGGCUAAAGUUAUAUCCAUAAAAAAAGCCAAAAUAACUUUUGUGACUUCAGUAAAUCAAGGUAUUAGGUGAGCCAGAAUGAUACCCUGGGCAUUAAUAAACUAUUUUUAAUACUUCUAAGAUCUCAGGUAUGGGUCAUAAAAGGCAAACUACCUGCUUCCUGCAACUGCAUAUGUUGAUAAUAAAAUACACAUGCAGAAAUC
RNAcentral lists this long non-coding RNA (229 nucleotides) under Bos taurus (domestic cattle). Its description in RNAcentral is "long non-coding RNA NONBTAT016526". The record is from RNAcentral. Lineage: Eukaryota; Metazoa; Chordata; Mammalia; Artiodactyla; Bovidae.